GACGAACGCUGGCGGCGUGCCUAAUACAUGCAAGUCGAGCGGACGGAUGGGAGCUUGCUCCCAGACCGUCAGCGGCGGACGGGUGAGUAACACGUGGGCAACCUGCCUGUAAGACUGGGAUAACUCCGGGAAACCGGGGCUAAUACCGGAUAACUCUUUCCCUCACAUGAGGGAAAGCUGAAAGAUGGCAUCUCGCUAUCACUUACAGAUGGGCCCGCGGCGCAUUAGCUAGUUGGUGAGGUAACGGCUCACCAAGGCGACGAUGCGUAGCCGACCUGAGAGGGUGAUCGGCCACACUGGAACUGAGACACGGCCCAGACUCCUACGGGAGGCAGCAGUAGGGAAUCUUCCGCAAUGGACGAAAGUCUGACGGAGCAACGCCGCGUGAGUGAUGAAGGUUUUCGGAUCGUAAAACUCUGUUGUCAGGGAAGAACAAGUACCUGAGUAACUGCCGGUACCUUGACGGUACCUGACCAGAAAGCCACGGCUAACUACGUG
RNAcentral lists this ribosomal RNA (498 nucleotides) under uncultured bacterium. RNAcentral describes it as "partial 16S ribosomal RNA". It matches the Rfam family "Bacterial small subunit ribosomal RNA", at positions 28 to 507 of the family's 1533-position model. The record is from RNAcentral.